RNAcentral lists this long non-coding RNA (783 nucleotides) under Homo sapiens (human). Its description in RNAcentral is "non-protein coding lnc-STXBP3-2:1". Lineage: Eukaryota; Metazoa; Chordata; Mammalia; Primates; Hominidae. The record is from RNAcentral.
CUUCAGAGCAAGGGGCUUCACCUCAGAAGGGUGAAUUUUCCCUGGCACAUAUUUUUCUUAUGGAUUGGGGCUUCACCCUGCUAAACUAAGCAGAACCUAACUUAAAAUGAAAAGGGAGAGGGAAAUCAUAUGUGCACUUGUUUAAAACAUUGAGCAACUGAAUCAAUUUAGAGUAGGUUUAAAGGAGGUCAGGGCUCCAGCUUCUAUUCUCAUAUAAGCCUUGAACAGAAAAACCACUCAGCCAUAGGUUGUGCCAGAACCCAUUUUAUGGCCUUUUUUAUUGUUAGAUACAGGGUCUCAUUCUGUUCCCCAAACUGGAGUACAGUUGCAUGAUCAUAGCUCACUGCAGCCUGGAACUCCCAGGCUCAAGCAGUCGUCCUACGUCAGCCUCGCAAGUAGCUACGACUCCUCAGCUUGCAGGUAGCAUGCGCCAUCAUGCCCAGCUAACUUUUUUAUUAAUUUUUUUUUUUUUUUUGGUGGAGACAGCAGUCUUGCUAUGUUGCCCAGGCUGGUCUUAAACUCCUGGCCUCUAUCAGUCCUCCUGCCUAGGCCUCCCAAAGUGCUGGGAUUACAGGUGUGAGCCACCAUGCCCAGCCUGUUCUUAAUUCUUCAUUUGCCUUUCCUCUCCUAAAAAUUGCAGGUUACCCCACAGACUACUCUAUUGCUUUCCAUGUAGCCCAAGCCUGAUCUUUGUUCCCACUCCACCACUAAGUGCAUCCUUGGCAAGUUACUUGACUUCAUUAAGCCUCAGUUUCCUUGUUGUAAGUGUUGCUUUGAGGAUCA